UACGUAGGGUGCGAGCGUUAAUCGGAAUUACUGGGCGUAAAGCGUGCGCAGGCGGUUUUGUAAGUCAGGUGUGAAAUCCCCGGGCUUAACCUGGGAAUGGCAUUUGGGACUGCAAGGCUUGAGUGUGGCAGAGGAGACUAGAAUUCCUGGUGUAGCAGUGAAAUGCGUAGAUAUCAGGAGGAAUACCGAUGGCGAAGGCAGGUCUCUGGGCUGACACUGACGCUCAUGCACGAAAGCGUGGGGAGCAAACAGG
Molecule: ribosomal RNA, 253 nt
Filed under: uncultured bacterium
Lineage: Bacteria
Description: partial 16S ribosomal RNA
Rfam family: Bacterial small subunit ribosomal RNA
Source: RNAcentral